Molecule: ribosomal RNA, 120 nt
Filed under: Carassius auratus (goldfish)
Lineage: Eukaryota; Metazoa; Chordata; Actinopteri; Cypriniformes; Cyprinidae
Source: RNAcentral
GCUUACGGCCAUACCAACCUGGCUAUGCCCGAUCUCGUCUGCUCUCGGAAGCUAAGCAGGUUUGGGCCUGGUUAGUACUUGGAUGGGAGACCGCCUGGGAAUACCAGGUGCCUGUAAGCU